GAUGAACGAUGGCGGCGUGCCUAAUACAUGCAAGUCGAGCGAACGGACGAGAAGCUUGCUUCUCUGAUGUUAGCGGCGGACGGGUGAGUAACACGUGGAUAACCUACCUAUAAGACUGGGAUAACUUCGGGAAACCGGAGCUAAUACCGGAUAAUAUUUUGAACCGCAUGGUUCAAAAGUAAAAGACGGUCUUGCUGUCACUUAUAGAUGGAUCCGCGCUGCAUUAGCUAGUUGGUAAGGUAACGGCUUACCAAGGCAACGAUGCAUAGCCGACCUGAGAGGGUGAUCGGCCACACUGGAACUGAGACACGGUCCAGACUCCUACGGGAGGCAGCAGUAGGGAAUCUUCCGCAAUGGGCGAAAGCCUGACGGAGCAACGCCGCGUGAGUGAUGAAGGUCUUCGGAUCGUAAAACUCUGUUAUUAGGGAAGAACAUAUGUGUAAGUAACUGUGCACAUCUUGACGGUACCUAAUCAGAAAGCCACGGCUAACUACGUG
RNAcentral lists this ribosomal RNA (497 nucleotides) under uncultured bacterium. Its description in RNAcentral is "partial 16S ribosomal RNA". It matches the Rfam family "Bacterial small subunit ribosomal RNA", at positions 28 to 507 of the family's 1533-position model. The record is from RNAcentral.